UACGGAGGGUGCAAGCGUUAUCCGGAUUCACUGGGUUUAAAGGGUGCGUAGGCGGGUUGGUAAGGCAGCGGUGAAAUCCCCGAGCUUAACUUGGGAACUGCCGUUGAUACUAUUUAUCUUGAAUGUUGUGGAGGUUAGCGGAAUAUGUCAUGUAGCGGUGAAAUGCUUAGAUAUGACAUAGAACACCCAUUGCGAAGGCAGCUAACUACGCAAAUAUUGACGCUGAGGCACGAAAGCGUGGGGAUCAAACAGG
RNAcentral lists this ribosomal RNA (253 nucleotides) under uncultured bacterium. RNAcentral's name for it is "partial 16S ribosomal RNA". It matches the Rfam family "Bacterial small subunit ribosomal RNA", at positions 524 to 776 of the family's 1533-position model. The record is from RNAcentral.